UGGGGAAUAUUGGACAAUGGGCGAAAGCCUGAUCCAGCCAUGCCGCGUGUGUGAAGAAGGUCUUCGGAUUGUAAAGCACUUUAAGUUGGGAGGAAGGGCAGUAAGCGAAUACCUUGCUGUUUUGACGUUACCGACAGAAUAAGCACCGGCUAACUCUGUGCCAGCAGCCGCGGUAAUACAGAGGGUGCAAGCGUUAAUCGGAAUUACUGGGCGUAAAGCGCGCGUAGGUGGUUCGUUAAGUUGAAUGUGAAAGCCCCGGGCUCAACCUGGGAACUGCAUCCAAAACUGGCGAGCUAGAGUAGGGCAGAGGGUGGUGGAAUUUCCUGUGUAGCGGAGAAAUGCGUAGAUAUAGGAAGGAACACCAGUGGCGAAGGCGACCACCUGGGCUCAUACUGACACUGAGAUGCGAAAGCGUGGGGAGCAAACAGG
Molecule: ribosomal RNA, 429 nt
Filed under: Pseudomonadota bacterium
Lineage: Bacteria; Pseudomonadati; Pseudomonadota
Description: Proteobacteria bacterium partial 16S ribosomal RNA
Rfam family: Bacterial small subunit ribosomal RNA
Source: RNAcentral